ACGUUUCUGUGAUUUUGAUGUACUGAACAAUUAUAAUCUUGUCAGAUUUUCUUUGGGAAAGAUUAUUAUUAUUUGGACGCUUGAAAAAGUAAACGUUUGUCUGCCGAAGACAAUCACGUGGUUUAAGGCCAUGUGCUUCCCUAGUAUCAACAGUGCCGAGGACGGCGCCAGUGAAAGGCAGGCGGUUUACCGGAGCAACAAAGGGUCUUGAUUUUUAGAGGCAUGCAGGUUUUAAAGAAAGAAAACAGUGUUAUAAAGAAAGAAAAAGAUUGCAGAUUACACCGAGGGUUCGGGAACCAUAAAUUUUAUGUUGGAGUUUGAACUUCACCCUGAUAGACUUUGAGCACAUCAUAAGUUUUAGACCUAUGGACGAAAAUCUGGCAGUUGGAUGAUAAGGAAAACACAGCCGUGAUAAAUAUCAGAGAAAUCUCCUUAGAAGAGUGUGCCGGUCUGGACAAAAAGUUGCAAUGUGAAUAACUUGGAAGAAAAAAGAGUCUUGUCAAAUUUCAGAGAAUUCUUGAUGAAAGAUUGCAUGUGUUGUUCCAGUUCCAUGAACUUUGUCUUUUUAACAUUAUUUAACACUUCAUUUGAAAUGAUGCAUUUUUGAUACAUUUUCAUUAUUGAAAUAUUUACAUUUGAUACUCUAUUUAACCAGUGGGCCAAGAAAGG
Molecule: long non-coding RNA, 669 nt
Organism: Saccostrea cuccullata (small rock oyster)
Lineage: Eukaryota; Metazoa; Mollusca; Bivalvia; Ostreida; Ostreidae
Exons: 3
Source: RefSeq, a predicted model, not a curated record